AGCUACAGGUCGUGGACGAACAAGACAAUGUCUAGGUCGCGGAAGAGUUCCGCCACCUGCAUCCACUACGGAAGUAUCAUUUGUAGGAGUCACAUCACCGUCUUCGAAGCUACGUGGACGCCAUUCGAUUGGCUGUGGAUGUGUGGAUGGUGCUGGUGACGGAGGAUACCCAAGGGGAUGCGGCGGUAGCCGAGCAAGAUCGAGCGGCUGUAUACGUUUUCCAGCACGAAUAUCCUUAACUCUCUUAAUUGCCAAUAAUAAUUUUUUCUGGUGGCCAAGACGUACAAUGCCAAUGUCUUCAAGAUCUUCCCAAGUGAGAGUCGUUACAUCUUCAACUGAACGCAUACCCUGUUGAUGAAGAGCACCAAGAUAUUCUUCGAGUCGCAGAAGCCUGAGCCACUCUUCUAACGAACCAGGAAUAUGUUCUGGCAAGCCAUCUCCUAUAUUUAAAUUAUCUAUUUCCGCCUUCAAGCGUUUCCGAUGAUUAGGCUGCUUAAUUCCUGCAAGUCCAUAGAGUCUUAAAUAUAGUCUUUUAAUCAUAGACAUAGAUAAAUUAAUCGGUAAGUAUAACAUAUAAAGGAAUAUUUA
RNAcentral lists this unclassified non-coding RNA (588 nucleotides) under Bombus terrestris (buff-tailed bumblebee). Its description in RNAcentral is "misc RNA ENSBTSG00005033119.1". Lineage: Eukaryota; Metazoa; Arthropoda; Insecta; Hymenoptera; Apidae. The record is from RNAcentral.